UACGUAGGGUGCAAGCGUUGCCCGGAUUUAUUGGGCGUAAAGGGCGCGUAGGCGGCUACGCACGUCCGUUGUGAAAUCGCCCGGCUCAACUGGGCGGGGUCGGCGGAUACGGCGUGGCUGGAGCAAGCUAGGGGGCAGUGGAAUUCCCGGUGUAGUGGUGGAAUGCGUAGAGAUCGGGAGGAAGGCCGGUGGCGAAGGCGGCGCUCUGGAACAUUUCUGACGCUGAGGCUCGAAAGCGUGGGGGGCAAACAGG
RNAcentral lists this ribosomal RNA (253 nucleotides) under uncultured bacterium. RNAcentral's name for it is "partial 16S ribosomal RNA". It matches the Rfam family "Bacterial small subunit ribosomal RNA", at positions 524 to 776 of the family's 1533-position model. The record is from RNAcentral.